GGUUAAGCGACUAAGCGUACACGGUGGAUGCCUAGGCAAUCAGAGGCGAUGAAGGACGUGCUAAUCUGCGAUAAGCGUCGGUAAGGUGAUAUGAACCGUUAUACCCGACGAUUUCCGAAUGGGGAAACCCAGUGCAAUUCGUUGCACUAUCGUUUGAUGAAUACAUAGUCAAACGAAGCGAACCGGGGGAACUGAAACAUCUCAGUACCCCGAGGAAAAGAAAUCAACCGAGAUUCCCCUAGUAGCGGCGAGCGAACGGGGAGCAGCCCAGAGUCUUAAUCAGCAUUAGUAUCAGGAGAACGGUCUGGAAAGUCCGGCAGUAAAGGGUGAUAGCCCCGUAUCUGAAGAUAUUAGUGUUGUGAACUCGACGAGUAGGGCGGGACACGUGUUAUCCUGUCUGAAUAUGGGGGGACCAUCCUCCAAGGCUAAAUACUCCUGAUUGACCGAUAGUGAACCAGUACCGUGAGGGAAAGGCGAAAAGAACCCCGGCGAGGGGAGUGAAAUAGAACCUGAAACCGUGUACGUACAAGCAGUGGGAGCCUUGAUUUAUCAGGGUGACUGCGUACCUUUUGUAUAAUGGGUCAGCGACUUAUAUUCUGUAGCAAGGUUAACCGUAUAGGGGAGCCGUAGGGAAACCGAGUCUUAACUGGGCGAAUGAGUUGCAGGGUAUAGACCCGAAACCCGGUGAUCUAGCCAUGGGCAGGUUGAAGGUUGGGUAACACUAACUGGAGGACCGAACCGACUAAUGUUGAAAAAUUAGCGGAUGACUUGUGGCUGGGGGUGAAAGGCCAAUCAAACCGGGAGAUAGCUGGUUCUCCCCGAAAGCUAUUUAGGUAGCGCCUCGUGAACUCAUCUUCGGGGGUAGAGCACUGUUUCGACUAGGGGGUCAUCCCGACUUACCAACUCGAUGCAAACUACGAAUACCGAAGAAUGUUAUCACGGGAGACACACGGCGGGUGCUAACGUUCGUCGUGAAGAGGGAAACAACCCAGACCGCCAGCUAAGGUCCCAAAGUCAUAGUUAAGUGGGAAACGAAGUGGGAAGGCUCAGACAGCCAGGAUGUUGGCUUAGAAGCAGCCAUCAUUUAAAGAAAGCGUAAUAGCUCACUGGUCGAGUCGGCCUGCGCGGAAGAUGUAACGGGGCUAAACUAUGCACCGAAGCUGCGGCAGCGAUAUGUAAAUAUUGUUGGGUAGGGGAGCGUUCUGUAAGCCUGUGAAGGUGUACUGUGAGGUAUGCUGGAGGUAUCAGAAGUGCGAAUGCUGACAUAAGUAACGAUAAUGCGGGUGAAAAACCCGCACGCCGGAAGACCAAGGGUUCCUGUCCAACGUUAAUCGGGGCAGGGUGAGUCGACCCCUAAGGCGAGGCAGAAAUGCGUAGUCGAUGGGAAACGGGUUAAUAUUCCCGUACUGGUGAUAAUUGCGAUGGGGGGACGGAGAAGGCUAGGCUGGCCGGGCGACGGUUGUCCCGGUUUAAGGAUGUAGGCAGGUGAAUUAGGCAAAUCCGGUUCACUAUAUGCUGAGGUCUGAUGACGAGUCACUACGGUGGCGAAGUAGCUCAUGCCCCGCUUCCAGGAAAAGCCUCUAAGCUCUAGAUUAUCAUUAAUCGUACCCCAAACCGACACAGGUGGUCAGGUAGAGAAUACUCAGGCGCUUGAGAGAACUCGGGUGAAGGAACUAGGCAAAAUGGUGCCGUAACUUCGGGAGAAGGCACGCUGGCGCUAGGUGAAGUGGUUUACCCAUGGAGCUGAAGCCAGUCGCAGAUACCAGCUGGCUGCAACUGUUUAUUAAAAACACAGCACUGUGCAAACACGAAAGUGGACGUAUACGGUGUGACGCCUGCCCGGUGCUGGAAGGUUAAUUGAUGGGGUUAUCCGUAAGGAGAAGCUCUUGAUCGAAGCCCCAGUAAACGGCGGCCGUAACUAUAACGGUCCUAAGGUAGCGAAAUUCCUUGUCGGGUAAGUUCCGACCUGCACGAAUGGCGUAAUGAUGGCCAGGCUGUCUCCACCCGAGACUCAGUGAAAUUGAACUCGCUGUGAAGAUGCAGUGUACCCGCGGCAAGACGGAAAGACCCCGUGAACCUUUACUAUAGCUUGACACUGAACAUUGAGCCUUGAUGUGUAGGAUAGGUGGGAGGCUUUGAAGUGUGGACGCCAGUCUGCAUGGAGCCAACCUUGAAAUACCACCCUUUAAUGUUUGAUGUUCUAACGUUGCCCCGUUAUCCGGGGUGCGGACAGUGUCUGGUGGGUAGUUUGACUGGGGCGGUCUCCUCCCAAAGAGUAACGGAGGAGCACGAAGGUUGGCUAAGCAUGGUCGGACAUCAUGCGGUUAGUGCAAAGGCAUAAGCCAGCUUGACUGCGAGAGUGACGGCUCGAGCAGGUACGAAAGUAGGUCUUAGUGAUCCGGUGGUUCUGAAUGGAAGGGCCAUCGCUCAACGGAUAAAAGGUACUCCGGGGAUAACAGGCUGAUACCGCCCAAGAGUUCAUAUCGACGGCGGUGUUUGGCACCUCGAUGUCGGCUCAUCACAUCCUGGGGCUGAAGUAGGUCCCAAGGGUACGGCUGUUCGCCGUUUAAAGUGGUACGCGAGCUGGGUUUAGAACGUCGUGAGACAGUUCGGUCCCUAUCUGCCGUGGGCGUUGGAAGAUUGAAAGGGGCUGCUCCUAGUACGAGAGGACCGGAGUGGACGCACCACUGGUGUUCGGGUUGUCAUGCCAAUGGCAUUGCCCGGUAGCUAAGUGCGGAAGAGAUAACCGCUGAAAGCAUCUAAGCGGGAAACUUGCCUUGAGAUGAGUCUUCCCUGACCCUUUAAGGGUCCUAAAGGAACGUUUAAGACUAAGACGUUGAUAGGUUGGGUGUGUAAGCAUAGCGAUAUGUUGAGCUAACCAAUACUAAUGAACCGUGAGGCUUAACCUG
Molecule: ribosomal RNA, 2909 nt
Filed under: Providencia rettgeri
Lineage: Bacteria; Pseudomonadati; Pseudomonadota; Gammaproteobacteria; Enterobacterales; Morganellaceae
Also listed under: 4 other names
Description: 23S ribosomal RNA
Rfam family: Bacterial large subunit ribosomal RNA
Source: RNAcentral